GACGAACGCUGGCGGCGUGCUUAACACAUGCAAGUCGAACGGUAAGGCCCUUCGGGGUACACGAGUGGCGAACGGGUGAGUAACACGUGGGUGAUCCGCCCUGCACUUCGGGAUAAGCCUGGGAAACUGGGUCUAAUACCGGAUAGGACUCCUGGCUUCAUGGUUGGGGGUGGAAAGCUUUUGCGGUGUGGGAUGGGCCCGCGGCCUAUCAGCUUGUUGGUGGGGUAAUGGCCUACCAAGGCGACGACGGGUAGCCGGCCUGAGAGGGUGACCGGUCACACUGGGACUGAGAUACGGCCCAGACUCCUACGGGAGGCAGCAGUGGGGAAUAUUGCACAAUGGGCGCAAGCCUGAUGCAGCGACGCCGCGUGAGGGAUGACGGCCUUCGGGUUGUAAACCUCUUUCAGCUAUGACGAAGCGCAAGUGACGGUAGUAGCAGAAGAAGGACCGGCCGACUACGUGCCAGCCGCCGCAGUAA
This 478-nucleotide ribosomal RNA is filed under the name uncultured bacterium. RNAcentral's name for it is "partial 16S ribosomal RNA". It matches the Rfam family "Bacterial small subunit ribosomal RNA", at positions 28 to 523 of the family's 1533-position model. The record is from RNAcentral.